UGAUACUGAAGGUCUUGAAUUUAGUUGAGGUGGGCGGAAUACGUUAUGUAGCGGUGAAAUGCAUAGAUAUAACGUAGAACACCGAUUGCGAAGGCAGCUCACUAAGCUAACAUUGACGCUGAUGGACGAAAGCGUGGGGAGCGAACAGGAUUAGAUACCCUGGUAGUCCACGCCGUAAACGAUGAUUACUCGUUGUGCACGAUACACUGUGCGUGACUGAGCGAAAGCAUUAAGUAAUCCACCUGGGGAGUACGUUCGCAAGAAUGAAACUCAAAGGAAUUGACGGGGGCCCGCACAAGCGGAGGAACAUGUGGUUUAAUUCGAUGAUACGCGAGGAACCUUACCUGGACUUAAAUGUAGAUUGACCGGUUUAGAAAUAGAUCUUCCCUUCGGGGCAAUUUACAAGGUGCUGCAUGGUUGUCGUCAGCUCGUGCCGUGAGGUGUCGGGUUAAGUCCCAUAACGAGCGCAACCCCUAUCGUUAGUUGCUAGCAGGUAAUGCUGAGGACUCUAGCGAGACUGCCACCGUAAGGUGAGAGGAAGGUGGGGAUGACGUCAAAUCAGCACGGCCCUUACGUCCAGGGCUACACACGUGUUACAAUGGCCAGUACAAAGGGCAGCUACCUGGUGACAGGAUGCUAACCUCUAAAGCUGGUCUCAGUUCGGAUCGGAGUCUGCAACUCGACUCCGUGAAGUUGGAUUCGCUAGUAAUCGUAGAUCAGCAAUGCUACGGUGAAUACGUUCCCGGGCCUUGUACACACCGCCCGUCAAGCCAUGGAAGCCGAGGGGACCUGAAGUUCGUAACCGCAAGGAGCGACCUAGGGUAAAAUUGGUAACUAGGGCUAA
RNAcentral lists this ribosomal RNA (844 nucleotides) under Bacteroidales bacterium. Its description in RNAcentral is "bacterial SSU rRNA". It matches the Rfam family "Bacterial small subunit ribosomal RNA", at positions 628 to 1484 of the family's 1533-position model. The record is from RNAcentral. Lineage: Bacteria; Pseudomonadati; Bacteroidota; Bacteroidia; Bacteroidales.